CAACCAGCAAUGAGCAAGAGAGUAGCGAUAAACAACGUCAACAGAGAGAGCGUGAACAGUGAAACACGCUUGGCGGUUUUAGCGUGAAGGUAGCUUGCGAGCUGCUAUUCUGAACUGUUUUAGUAGGAAUAGCCGGACGGGAUACACCGUUCGUUAACAACGAUGUUUAAGCUGUAAAGCGAUCACUUGUGAUGGCUUUAAAAUUAGGUGGUACCGCGAAGUCCAUUCGUCCUAGUC
The sequence is a regulatory RNA element, 237 nucleotides long. It matches the Rfam family "T-box leader". Rfam says of the family: Uncharged tRNA acts as the effector for transcription antitermination of genes in the T-box leader family. T-boxes are found upstream of many aminoacyl-tRNA synthetase genes and some amino acid biosynthetic genes usually in Gram-positive bacteria. The record is from Rfam.